UUUGUAAGUAACGAUGCUUGACCCCUUCUUUCAGAACUGAAGA
This 43-nucleotide small RNA is filed under the name Arabidopsis thaliana (thale cress). RNAcentral describes it as "ATSL101910". Lineage: Eukaryota; Viridiplantae; Streptophyta; Magnoliopsida; Brassicales; Brassicaceae. The record is from RNAcentral.